CAGUCGCCGCGGGAAUACGAAGGGGGCUAGCGUUGUUCGGAAUUACUGGGCGUAAAGCGCGCGUAGGCGAACAUUUAAGUCAGGGGUGAAAUCCCGGGGCUCAACCCCGGAGCUGCCUCUGAUACUGGGUGUCUAGAGCUCGGAAGAGGUAAGUGGAAUUGCGAGUGUAGAGGUGAAAUUCGUAGAUAUUCGCAGGAACACCAGAGGCAAAGGCGACUUACUGGUCCGAUACUGACGCUGAGGUGCGAAAGCGUGGGGAGCAAACAGGAUUAGAUACCCCUGUAGUCCCUGUCUCUUAUAC
This 301-nucleotide ribosomal RNA is filed under the name uncultured bacterium. RNAcentral's name for it is "partial 16S ribosomal RNA". It matches the Rfam family "Bacterial small subunit ribosomal RNA", at positions 509 to 807 of the family's 1533-position model. The record is from RNAcentral.